Molecule: ribosomal RNA, 323 nt
Filed under: uncultured eukaryote
Lineage: Eukaryota
Description: partial 18S ribosomal RNA
Rfam family: Eukaryotic small subunit ribosomal RNA
Source: RNAcentral
CCCUUAGAUGUUCUGGGCCGCACGCGCGCUACACUGACGAUGGCAACGAGUUUUUCCUUCGCCGAAAGGUGUGGGUAAUCUUUUGAAACAUCGUCGUGCUGGGGAUAGAUCAUUGCAAUUUUUGAUCUUGAACGAGGAAUUCCUAGUAAACGCGAGUCAUCAGCUCGCAUUGAUUACGUCCCUGCCCUUUGUACACACCGCCCGUCGCACCUACCGAUUGAAUGUUUCGGUGAAGAUUCCGGAUAGGACUUUUUUGAUUUAUUUCAAUUCUGUCUUAAAAGCUAUCUAAACCUCAACAUUUAGAGGAAGGUGAAGUCGUAACA